UACCAGCACCCCGAGUGGUCGGGACGAUUAUUGGGCCUAAAGCAUCCGUAGCCGGUCCUACAAGUCUUCCGUUAAAUCCACCUGCUUAACAGAUGGGCUGCGGAGGAUACUAUAGGGCUAGGAGGCGGGAGAGGCAAGCGGUACUCAGUGGGUAGGGGUAAAAUCCUCUGAUCCAUUGAAGACCACCAGUGGCGAAGGCGGCUUGCCAGAACGCGCUCGACGGUGAGGGAUGAAAGCUGGGGGAGCAAACCGG
Molecule: ribosomal RNA, 253 nt
Filed under: uncultured bacterium
Lineage: Bacteria
Description: partial 16S ribosomal RNA
Rfam family: Archaeal small subunit ribosomal RNA
Source: RNAcentral